CACAUCUAUCCACUUCAUUACAAAACUUCUGGGGGAAAAGAUGGAACCUUAUGGUCUCAAGAACAUUGAGAUCUACCAUAUAUGAGCCUUUAAGAUCUCAUCUUACACAAUCACUAGGAAGGAGAUGGGGUUUGCAUCUGGCUCUACUUGCUACUUUCCUGGUAUCUGGUAUAAUGCAUGAGAUAUUUUACUAUUAUACGAUCCGUGAAUGGCCUACAGGGGAAGUGAUGUUAUUCUUAGCCAUCAAUGGCGUUAUGGUAUCGAUUGAGAUUGAAGCCAAGAAGGCUUUAGGAGAAAAGUGGAAUUUGCACCAAGGGAUUUCAUUGAUGCUGACAAUUGGAUUUUUCCUAGUUAGCUUUCCCUGGUUAUGCUACAACCAGCUCAUAAGGUCAGGUGUUCUUGUUAAGGGUCUUGAGGAGUCUGUUGCUUUAGGCAAGUGCGCAAAACAUGCACUACUAUCUAUUUUGUAAAAAAAAAAUGUAUUUUUCUUAUUUUAUUUUAUUUUUACAUUCAAAACAAAUUUUAUUGAUAAAGAUUGAAGGAAUUACACAAAGUUAGAGGACAAGCGCGCUACAAACUGCACCACAAGCCCUUUAUUGGCAAGCGUGGUUGAGGGGACCCCCUACCCCUUUAAAUUACGUGUGGAAACUUUUAUCAACAAUCAGUUGUUGACGUGUUUCGAACCCACAACCUCUCCACUUUGUGAGAGGGGUGCUACCAUUGAGCCACAUGCUCAUUCGCUAAAAAUGAUUUGGUAAGCCUGUUUUUAAUAAGAUCAGUAACUCGGUAAUGGUGGCGGGAUUCAAACCUCAGACCUCUUGUAUCAUCACCCAGAGGUUUUACCAGUUGAGCCAAUAAAGUUAAGCUGGGGUAGAGGCAGACCCCAACCUGUAUAUUACCAAUCACAAAGGUUACAAACUCCCAAAGAGGAUAGUCAUUUGAGGGAGUGGCUCAUAAAUAAAGCCCAAAAGGCAUUCUACUACCAGAACAUGUUGAGCUAAUAACGAAGGCCACGCGUGACUAUAAUUUGUGCAACUUGCAGAAAAUUCAAAACAACAGAACUAAGUACUUUAAAAUCCAACUACAACCUUAACAUGGAAACCAACUUCAUUAUAUUUAUCCCAAGUGAAAGUUCAGUUCAACAUAUUGGUUGUCUUUGGCAUUCCAAAACAGUUCUUGUUCGGAAAAGUUAUUGUUAAACUACUUUUCAAAACAAUGUCAGCUAAUAAAAAUUUAGCUUCCCAUGGUUUGUUAUUGCGUGAUCCUCCACGAAUAAAAUUCAGAGAGUAACUCUGUUAACCGAGCUAAAAUAUUUCAUGCCCAUUACUUCAUCAGACGCUUGUUACAUGGAAGAUGUAAAAACAAACGCUUAGAUUUGGAACAUUCAUCCAUUUCAGAGGUCUAACAACAUUUGGCCCAUGACCAUGCACGCUAUCAACUCCAAGGUGCGCAGCUCGACCAUUUAAAUUAGCUGGGGUAUGAUAGGCUGAUAGCGAUCAACUUCAAAGAAGCUCGACCAGAGAUAUAUGCUUCCGCACAAUAGGACAAUUAUUAUUAACUACUCCCUCUGUCCAACUUUUAUAGGCGCUUUUGGUGUUUACAGAUGGAUUAAAAAAUCAUAAUUAAUGAUGCAAAAGUAAUGAAUUUUACAAACAUUUCCAGUUUUGCCCUUAAUUUAAUACUCCACUUCAAGAUAUUCAAACUUAGAAAGUUGGAAUAAGACUUUGAAAUGGUUGAUACCAUGGAAAAUUAAUAAGGGUAAUUUGGUAAUCUGAUUAUUUUUUCACCUUGAGAAUAAUAAAAUGGACAAGAUUUUGUGACAAAAAAAAAACUGAAAAGUGCCUAUAAAAGUUGGGGUUGUACCUCAACUAAGUGGUUGUUUCGACAUAAAUUUUAUCAGCUCGGAUUGAUGUACAUGCAAUGACACACAUUAAAUUUGGUAGUUGUAAGAUAUAUCAAAUAAGGUCUCCAACACGAUUCAGAAAAACCAACACCAAAACAAUUAAGUACCAGGAAAAACACAAUGAAUAAAGACACACCACAACACAAAGAGCAUACAAAGAGGAAGUUACGGAUGAUUUAACUACAUAUCGUCGAUACGUGGCAGGCAUAUAUUGUUGGUGUAACACCCAAGAGUUGGGUUAGUCCCACAUCACCAAGGAAGUAGUUGUAUUGGUAGUAUAUAGAGCUUAACCAAAACCCUCUACUGCUGGAUAGGUGGACCUUGAUCCAAAACGCUCUACUGCUGGAUAUCCGCAGUGACUAAAGGAGGACAAUAUUGAUAUUAGUGAGUGGUAUGGUGCUCGACACUCCGGGAUGAGCGAGGACGAAAUCUCAGAGCAUUACAGUUGGCGUAUGUUUUAAAGUUGCAUAAGCGGAUGGGGCUUCAUAUAGACACAGAGAAAUUUUUGGGGCAAAAGUCUUAGGAAUCCCUGUGCAUAGAUACUUGAGACGACCGAUCACCACAACAUAUUCCCCGAUCCCCCUUACAUCUUCCAUGUAUACGUAUACAUUUCAGUUCUUCAAACAGUUUAAGAUUCAAUCAGUAUAUAACACUUGAUGUUGAACUUGAUUUCUUGUUGAGAAGGAAAAUACUAGGUUGCCUGACAUGAACAGUUUAGUAUGUCCUUGAAAUAUUGAGUGGACACAGGAUUUUUAUUGAGGGGUUGAGGUUGAAAAAAUAUGCUAGAAACCUAUAGACAACAACAUAUUUCCUGGAGUUCAUAUGAUACUUGCUUUCUUCCGGGAGUUCCAUUAUCUAGACUCUAGUGCACGAGUUGGAAGUUCUAUUGUCUAGAGUUGCAAUUGAUUCUUUCAACUAAGCCUCUAACGCGUAAGACAAGUCCUAAAGGCCUGAAAAUUAUUUGAUAGGUGGAGUUGAAAACGAAGACAAGUUGUGAAUUGUGAUUCAUGCAACGACAUCCUUCCUGCCAUGACUAUAGUUCUUCCAUCGAUCAGUAUUGAAGUUCAAUGUCACUGAUAGCUUCCAUGUUCUGACAAAACUUCGAACAUUAAAAAGAAUGGGAACUUAACUAUUGGGUGAAGUUAUAGAAAUCUUGUGUAGUCUGUGAUAGGAUGAUUUGUGCAACUUGCAGUUAGGGAUAAAUAUAACUCUAGCGAAAAAUCACACAUGGUAUGGAUACUAAUUAAACCUAGAAAAUUUUCUGAAAUAGUUGGAUUUGUCACGCACGAGGUGGCUGCCACCUUGUUAUGCCACUUUGAAGCUGUAAGGGUGUCGACUUCUUCUGUAAAUUUUCUUCAAUGUGUAAGGUGUAAAGGAAUCAAUUGACAGAUUCCUCUGUUUUAAGACAGUACCUUCCAUGUUCAGGUGUCAAUUGUCAGAAUAAUACUAUAACAAGAAUAACCGCUUGCAUUAGGAAGAUGUGUCUCAUUCUGAGGUCAAAGAAAAGGCUGCAGGCUAUCAACUUCAAGGUAGCUCAACGACAUAUUCUUCCAUACCAUAAGACAAACUAUUAUCAACUAGGUGAUCGUGGUUGUCCUACUUGUCAGAACUUGAUCAAUAACAUUAAAUUGGUUAGUUGAUGAGUUAUGAAUGCAGAAGAUAACCAACACCAAAACAAUGAAGUACCAGAAACAAACACACCACACAACAACACAGACUGUUUGGACCAUUAAAAAGGGGGACUGUACGCGAGAGGGGGACUGUUUCAAGACAGUACCUUCCAUACCUCAAUAAAAAUUUUGCGAAUAAGCAUAUGGUUCAAUGUUAGCACACCUCUCACAAAGUGGAGAGGUUGUGGGUUCGAAAACACGUCAACAGCUGAUUGUUAGAUAAUAAGUUUCCCCACGUAAUUUAAAAGGGGGACUGUACAAGAGAGGGGUCACAGAUGAUUAUCACCAAGAACAACAACAACCAAUUUCGGAAAAAACCUAAGGUUAUUUCAGAUCAAUAUAAGGCACUGUACCAGAUACACAGGCGCAAUGAGUAUUGAUAAAACAUAGUAGAGAGAAAUGGAUGAAGAAAUUAAAAUUUUCGUCAAAGUAUGCAGCGCAGUUAUAAUAUCACUAAGUUACGCGUACUUUGUUUCUUCAAGAAUCGCAAAAGGAAUGAAAAGAUUCCUGUCACUUGUUCCUAUAAUUUUCACAUUUCUUGUAAUUCCAUUGUUUUACUCAUCAGUUACAUUUCAAAUUGGCUCAGGUCUUUUUAUAGCUUGGCUUGCUAACUUUAAGCUUCUUCUAUUUGCAUUCCGUAAAAAUCCUGUUUCAACCAAUUAUUCAUCUCUAUCUCUUCUGGAAUUCAUUCUAACUACCAGCCUUCCUAUUUUGAUCAAACAAGACAAAUCUCCUACGACAAAGCGUAAAUCCUCAUUGGAAUUCACAAUUCGUGGCCUCAUUUGGUUUCUACUUGUGUAUUUAUACAAGUACAGUGAAUAUAUCCCUUGUACUCAUGUUUUUCGAGUCGUGUAUAAUAUUACUUACAUGAAUUUAUCCCUUGUACUCAUGUUUAGUCUACCGGCACUUAUGGCUCGCCUUUUGCUUAGAAAGGAACUCGAGCCACAAUUUGAUAAUCCACUUCUUUCCACUUCAUUACAAAACUUCUGGGGAAAAAGAUGGAACCUUAUGGUUUCAAGAAUAUUGAGAUCUACCAUAUAUGAGCCGGUAAGAUCUCAUCUUACACAAUUACUAGGAAGGAGAUGGGGUUUGCAUCUGGCUCUACUUGCUACUUUCCUGGUAUCUGGUUUAAUGCAUGAGAUUAUUUACUAUUAUGCGAUCCGUGAAUGGCCUACAUGGGAAGUAAUGUUAUUCUUUGCCAUCAAUGGUGUUUUGGUAUCGAUUGAGAUUGAAGCCAAAAAGGCUUUAGGGGAAAAGUGGAGUUUGCACCAAGGGAUUUCAUUGAUGUUGACAGUUGGAUUUUUGCUAGUGAGCAGUCCCAGGUUAUGCUACAUCCAGCUUACAAAGUCAGGUGCUAUUGUUAAGACUCUUGAGGAGUCUGUUGCUUUAGCCAAGUGCGCAAAACAUGCACUACUAUCUAUCUGGUAAUUAUUUGUUUCAACCUGUCAUAUAUGAAACCGGCAUUUGGUUUCAUGGUUUGACAUCAUUUCGUGUUUGUGUCAUCAGCUAUCUUGCCCAGACUUCAUUGUUAGGUUGAACCUUGGUACAUGUGUCAUUCCUCAUUCUUUCCUCUAUCAUCUUGUGUACAGGUUACUCAAUUUUCAGUCUGUUGGGAUUUAGUUCGGACGAAACCCUUUGGUUCAGACGAAUUUGUUCCAGAUCUUUUAUUUGUGCAGAAACAGCUGGAAUUUGGUUAGGACGAAACUUUUUAGUUCGAACGAAAUUCUUCCAUUAAGUUUUUCGUCAUUUUUGUUUUGUUUCCUUUUCUAGAGUUCAUAUAAAUAAGUUUUCUUUCAUUAGAAAACCUAAAUCCCCAGCCGUCUAUUCCUCUCUUGAGAGUGUUUGUUUGUUGAGGAAACUCUUCUCCUUCUUGAUUCAUCUUUCUCCCCAUUAUAAUCCAUAUUCUUUUGCAUAUUGGCUUUGCGAUCUCCUUGUAUGACUGUGUGACUAUCAAGGGAUACUAAAGAAGCAAUCUAUCUUUCUAGACUUCGAGUCUUCUUGUGUGUUCAUCAAGAAGUCGAGAUCUUUGUGUGUUCAUUAAGGUUCUCCGGUGAAGUCCAAGGGUUUUAAAGACAGCUGGUAUUGUCAAGUAGCAGGUGUAUACAGUAGUACUUGAUAGACUUGUAAUCUCUUACAACAUAGUGGAUUAAUUAGUUACCGAUCGAGGUAACCGUGGAUGUUUCCCAGUUUGGGUUUUACCACGUAAAAACUUCUUGUCUUUUUAUCAUUCUUCUUGUUUUACUUAUUGCGGUUUCUAUUAUAUUGCACUGGGUUACAAUAUAAAUCUUGGGGAGUAGCUAGAUUUUCGUAUUUAUCAUAGCUAUCUCUCUCGUAGUGCAGUAGGUGGCUCUCUUGGGAAAAAAGAUUUGAAACUUAUGUGCUCCUUUCUUCUCCUUUUUGAAGAUAUCAGAACAUUUCUACGUUGAUAACUAGAAUAAUCGAUGCAAUAAACAGAAGAAAAAAAAACCCAUUGUGGAUCUGAAUGAGAGCAGUGGCUACAUGGGGACAAUACCGGCGUGUUGAAUAUGUGUCAGAUCAUUACAUAUCUAUUUGUCACUGUGGUAUCUAGUUUGAUGCAUAAAAUAAUUAUUAUUAACACUUGAUGUUUAACUUGAUUUCUUGUUGACAAGGAAAUUAAUACUAGGUUGCCUGACAGGAACAAUUUAGCAUACAAGUUCUCUCAUAGCGCAACAAAGAUAGUUAUAUUUACAUGCAGUGAUACAGGUGUAUCCUAUUUGAGAACUUAGCAGUUCUAUUCUUGGUAAGACAAGGAAGGGAAAACACUUUAAAAUAGGUUUCCUCGUUCCAUAAGGAAUAGAAAUUGAGUGAAAAAGAAAUAUUUUUCCUUGGCCAACUAGAAGUUGUCCAAAGCCUAUAAAUAUAUGUUUUGGCAUAAACCAAAAGAUAGAGAGAGAAACAUCAUGUAGUGCUUACUUCAAGAUAGAUAAACAAGCUAGUGCUUAAUUUGUUUGAAUUGAUGUUUGUCAUAGACCAAAACACAGUGAAACAACUUAUUUAGUUGUUUAGAGAAACCACUAAGGUUUACUGUGUUUAGAAACAUAAGAGAGGCAGCUAGGGUUUAGCUUGUCUAGAGAGUAUUGUGAGGAAGAGAUUCUUGUAAUCUUCAUAAUAUUCAAUAAAGAAGAUAGUUUUCUUCGAGAUCUUUUAUUGUUUUAUUCAUCUUAUUUAAUGUUAUUGUUUAAUUCCGCAUUCAAUAAUAUAUUUGCCUAGUAAUUUGUAUCAUGCAGAGUAUUAUUCGUAAAACAUAGUAGAAAGAGAAUGGAUUAAAAAAUGAACUUCAAUAUUACUGAUAGUUUCCAUCCAAUAGUAUUGAAGUAUCAGUAAAACAUAUCAAUUAUGCUCGCAGAAUAUUUCUAGCAACUCCACAUUGAUCUUUCUGGCAAAUCCUUGUGUUCUUGUGUGUGUUUUGGUUGAUUCUAUUUAUUUGCUUUACUUUGUUACUUUGAAGAUACGACGAAUACGAUCUAGGGACUUGUGUUGUCCCAUUCUCGGUAGCUCGACCACAUAUACUUCCAUACCAUAAAACAAAGUAUUAUUAACUAGCUGAUCGGGGUUGUCCUACUUGUCAGAACUUGAUCAAUGACAUUAAAAUUGGUAGUUGAGUUAUGGAUGCAGAAGAUAACUAACAGUACCAAAACAAUAAAGUACUUGAAAAAAACACACACCACAACAACAGAGACUGUACAAGAGAGGGGUUACAGAUGAUUUAACUAUCACUAAGAACAACAAUAAAAAACAACCAAUUUUGGAGUGAAAAAAAGGUGAUUUUAAUUAGAUCAAUAUAAGGCAAUGUACCAGAUAAACAGGCACAAUGAGUAUUGGUAAAACAUAGUAGAGAGAAAUGGAUGAAGAUGGAACCUUAUGGUCUCAAGAAUAUUGAGAUCUACCAUAUAUGAGCCUGUAAGAUCUCAUCUUACACAAUUACGUACUAGGAAGAAAAUGGGCUUUACAUCCAGCUUUACUCGCAACUUUCCUGGUAUCCGGUUUAAUGCAUGAGAUUAGUUACUACUAUGCGAUACGCAAAUGGCCUACGUGGGAAGUGCUGUUAUACUUCAC
RNAcentral lists this long non-coding RNA (7650 nucleotides) under Aquilegia coerulea. Its description in RNAcentral is "long non-coding RNA (ACOE_LNC001534)". Lineage: Eukaryota; Viridiplantae; Streptophyta; Magnoliopsida; Ranunculales; Ranunculaceae. The record is from RNAcentral.